UACGGGGGGAGCAAGCGUUGUUCGGAAUCACUGGGCGUAAAGGGCGCGUAGGCGGCUUUUCAAGUCGGGGGUGAAAGCCUGUGGCUCAACCACAGAAUUGCCUUCGAUACUGUUAGGCUUGAGACCGGAAGAGGUGAGUGGAACUGCGAGUGUAGAGGUGAAAUUCGUAGAUAUUCGCAAGAACACCAGUGGCGAAGGCGGCUCACUGGUCCGGUUCUGACGCUGAGGCGCGAAAGCGUGGGGAGCAAACAGG
Molecule: ribosomal RNA, 253 nt
Filed under: uncultured bacterium
Lineage: Bacteria
Description: partial 16S ribosomal RNA
Rfam family: Bacterial small subunit ribosomal RNA
Source: RNAcentral